RNAcentral lists this unclassified non-coding RNA (575 nucleotides) under Hevea brasiliensis (rubber tree). Lineage: Eukaryota; Viridiplantae; Streptophyta; Magnoliopsida; Malpighiales; Euphorbiaceae. The record is from RNAcentral.
UGUUGUUUCAGGAACCCCCUCAGACGGAGGAAGAGCAGCAUCCUCUGCUUUCUCAUUCUCAACACCUGGCUCUUCAACGCUCUCCUUUGCGUGUUCCUCUGACUUCGCUCCUUCAAAACCAUUUUCGCUAGCUAGACCAUCGGGUUUACUCUCAUCGACCCUUAGCCGCUUGGCAUCUGGCGAAUCUCCAUCAACCACAUCAUCAGCUUCCUUAUCUGCAUCGGGCUCAGCGCUCAGGUCAGCUUCCUGUUCGGGAUUGGUCUCAGUCGGAUGAGGAGCUUCAGGCUCUAAAUCUUCAAGCUUGCGCUUGUGAUCAGAGGGUACGGGACUAGCCGCCGGAGCAACAACCUCUUCCUCCGCCAUUGGGAUCAAGAAGACUCCAAAACUAACCCUAGGUAAGCUAACUUGAGACCAGAAAGAGCAAAUACAAGGGUUUGGUGGUGCUAUUGAGUGUAUGAAGGCUGUGAAGAAGGGUUUUACUAGUGAUCUACAGAGAAAGAGAAGGAACGAUACAAGAGGAGACAGGAAAUUGUAUCCGAAUCAAUCCUGUAGAGAAAGGGUUUAAGGCCUUUUAA